Molecule: long non-coding RNA, 12123 nt
Organism: Equus caballus (horse)
Lineage: Eukaryota; Metazoa; Chordata; Mammalia; Perissodactyla; Equidae
Source: Ensembl
UGGUUGUGUGUGGUUGGGAGCUUGUUUACAGAACUGGGUUUGGAAGCUCAUUUCUUGAUUAUUCAUCUCCAGUUCCCAGACCAGGUGAUGCUUGCAUUUAAGCAGGAAUUGUGUGCCUGCCAUGUACCAUAUAUCUCAAACUCCCAGCUUCAUGGUCCUCAAAAAUGCUAUUUCAGGUGAUGGAUGAAACCAGCUUCCUUCGGACCAUAUCAGAAGGAGUACGUCUUCUGUCCAAGCAACUGGAAUGUCUGGAUGAAAAAUUCUGCGGCUGGAAGUGAAGGGCUGAAUAAAAACCUUUAAUUAAGAGUUAAAGACUUUAAUCUGCCUCUAACUUGGUUUUCUUCCUAAAUCCUACAAUUUUCAAAAGAAAGAGAAAUCCAGAGAACACAAAAUGCCAUCCAACACAAAGCCACGAAGAUGUUGAGCCAAAACAAUUGUGGUCUCUUUGGCGAUGAAACGCUCUACUCUUCAGAUCGUUGCAGAGAAAACGUGUUUCUUCUCCCCAUCUGAACCGCGAGUUUUUCUCCAAGCUUGCCAGUUUUGCCGAGUCAGCACGAACAUAGUCCUUCUCUCUCUCCACCAACACUCCCACGGGCUGCUCCCUCAUCCACUUCUAUCCUCCUCUGCCCCCUUCCUCCCGGGUGUCCCGGAUGACCGUCUGACUAAAAUGAGGCUUCACUUCUUUUUUCGGCCAGUGAAAAACAAAGAGGAAAAAAAAAAAAAAAAGCGCGCGCACACUUCUUUUUUAAAGAUGCAAAUUUCCUACAAUUUUUUGCAAGGAGGCGGGCCCUCCUGACAGGAAGGAAGAGGGUUGCGCUGGAGACGCCCGAAGCCCGCCGUGAUUGAAAGGGAGAAAAAGCCCUUGAGUUUCUCAGAUGUAAAUAAUUUAAGGUUUGGAAGUGCUCACCUUUGGAUCCAUUGGAGCUUUGGGGAACUUGUGCAGUGGGGGAAAAAAAUUGCUGAGACAAGCGGGAGUGAAGCGAGCUGACUGGCCUGGACUGGAUUCAGCCGGGGGAGCAGCUGAGGAGCGCUUGGGGAGGAAACCAGCCAAUGGAGGGGAGGAUUGGGGCCCCCCAGGCACACAGAGCUGCCUGUGGAUGGGGACAUCCUCUCUCACGUGAGCUGAAAAUUCUCCUUGCUACAAAAAGGAUUGCAGAGAAUGAAGAAACACCAGAUAUGAUUUCAAGCCAUUGGGGUGCUGAUGUGGAUACCGAUGGGCUCCUGCACCUCUUUAGCCAGACAGAUCUGUUAACACCGGAUUUCUGCUACAAUUAUAAAACAUCAUUGGAGACAAGCUGACUCAACUAAGAGCAGAAAUCCCUUUUGACAAGGAGGAAACCUUUUGAUUGUGGAGAAGUCUCUUAAAAGGGUCUGUAUCGGGGCUCUUUCAAACUUGACAUUUAUAUACAGAGCAAACAACUAUGUCAGGAUGGGUGAUAUUGGGAUGAACCUAGGCAGGUUCAUCUUCUUCUCUGAGCUGAUUUGUUUCAGUAAAUCCUCAGAAAAUAUCACUUGUCUCAUUUUCCUUCAAUCCUUUUGUCUGAGUUGGAGCUGAGAAUGGUUUUUUUUCUUUCUUUGUAAAUUCUCUUGAUUUUGGUUAUGUAACAGGGCCAGACAAUUUCCUUUGCUGAACAAAAGUCUCAAAUGAAUAGAUAUCGAUGGUAAUACCAGUAAUUAACAGUUUCUCUCAGUGGUGCAUGUCUGAAACUGCUUUUAUUGAUUUAUUUUGACUCUGUUCCAUAUAGGAUAUUUUUUCAGCUCGCACAAACAUGUGCUUAUUUCCUUUUGGUCCUGACCAUUCUGAGCUCUGUUUUUUAAAGAUUGUAAUUCCUCAGGACAGCUCUGACAGGGCAGCAGAUGAAACGGGACUAAGAUGCCUUCAGCAAAUUGUAACCUUGAAGGGUUAUCAAUGAGUGUGAAGGAUGGAGAACCUCUUAGUUUUGGGUUUGAUGUUCUGGGUUUCCUUUUGGGUUUGAUUGGACUGGAACUUGGAGUUGCAUGGAAUUGUGUGUGGGGAAAGGAAAGGAGGAUGUGAGAGGGGUCAUCCAGGCAAAGAUAGAAGUCAAGGAGGAGAAAAUUGGGAGAGACAGAACCAGUUGCCCAGUGUCCCCUGACUCAGGCAGCUCUGCUUCCCUGUGAAUCCCAGUUAUGCUUUUUUCUUUCCCUCAAUCAAGGGAAAAAUGCAGAGUGUUAAAAGGGCAAUUUGUUUGGAUGGUUAGGUAUGUCAAAAUUAUUAUUUUUUCCCCAGAAUUGAGACCUUUUGUUAAGUUUGUUAUAGAAAACUUAGAUGAUACCGAAGCAAAGGAGGAAGAGGAGGAGAGGAGAGGAAACUAGUUUUAAAUAUUUCCAAACAUUUUGUGGUCCUACAUGCAGACACAUUCUACACCCCCACCUCCCUCUCUCUCUCCCUCUCUCUCUCACACACACAAUACAUUUGAGAUCCCACUGAACAUACCUUCAGAACAUAAUUAUACUGAACAUACUAUUCUGUGACCUGUGUUUCAAAUUAGUGAUAUGUCAUGAACCCAUUAUCAUGUCAAUAAUUAUACCUAUGUAUCAUCAUUUUUAAUGGCUGAAUCGUAUUCCAUUUGAUGGACAUACAACAUGUUUAACCGAUCACCUAGUGUUGGAUAUUUAGUUUGUUUCUUUUCUUUCUUUGUCUCUUUCACUUUUCCUCCCUCCUUCCCUCCCUCACUCUACCUUCCCUAUAUAACUAUUCUAAAAUAUAUACCCUUGAUCUUUUUGCGUGAAUCUGAAGCAUUUGCUUAGAACAAAUUCUUAGCUGCAGAGUGUUGGGUCAAAGAGUGUCCCCAUUUCUCAGGCUUCUGAUGCAUUCUCUACUCUGUCCUCUGAGAAGAUUGUACUGAUGUCUAUAGAGAAUAUGGCAAUUCUAACCGCAGAAUUACACCAUCUAGUAAGGCUUCUCUGAAGGUGGAAUGUUUGCACUGAGAAAUCUAGGAUGGAGAUGAGUUAAGGCAAGGGAGAGGGAUGGUGAUAAUGGUGGCGGUGGUCAUGGCAAACAUUCCUGGCAGAGGAACACACAUGUGCAAAGAACACUUGGCAGGAGGGAAUAAGGGACCCUCAAAGAGGCAGAUUGAGCACAAAGAAUAAGGGAGGCUAUUUUAUUCAGGGUUCUUUAGUUAUAGGAAUUGGCUCAUAUGAAUAAGGAGGCUGGCAAGUCCCAAGAUUGCAGCCAGCAGGCUGGAGACCCAGGAAGAGCCAAUGUUUCCGUUUGAGUCCAAAGGUAGGAAAAAUCCCCAGCUCAAGGCAGUGAGGCAGGAGGAGUUCACUCUUCCUUGAGAGAGGAUCAGCCUUUCGGUUCUAUUCAGGCCUUUAACUGAUUAGAUGAGGCCCACCCACACUAGAGAAGGCAAUCUGCUUUACUCAGUCUACUGAUUCAAAAAUUAAUCUCAUCUAAAAACUUCUUCACAGACACACCCAGAAUAACAUUUGACCAAAUAUUUGCACAUCUGGUGGCCCAGUCAAAUUGACACAUAACAUUAACUAUCACAGGAGAAACAGGAGAGGAGGUUCAAGGAGUGGACAAUGGGAGAGGGAAUGAGGAUGGAAAGAGAAUGAGACCAUACAGGGCCUUAUGGACCACACAAAGGCUUUUGGUUUUACUAUUAAGAGAUAUUGGAAGUCACUAAGUAGUUUCAGCAAGGCUGGAGGUGCGGUGGCGUAACCACAUUCAUGGUAACCCUAUGAAAUGUGUAGGGAGGGCAUUGCUUUCCCUUUUCACAGAUGAAAAGACUGGGCUAGAACAUUUAGGUAGCUGCCCUAGGUCCUCUCUUUUUCCACAGUGCAAAUUAAGGUUCUUUUGGCCAUACUAAACCACUAUUUGUGGGUCAACAUAUGCAUAGAGAACUUUGACAAAGGAUUCCCCAAAUACACUGAUGGGGGCUAUAGUACACGCUCUCAGUACUCCACCAACAUGCUCUUGUUUCAACUUGGAAGCACCAAGCAGUUAACGUCCCCAGAAGCCACCCAACGGCAGAUGGAGAGCUAGUGGAUAAAUACCACUUCCUGGAAGUCCCGGGUUGUGGAAUAAUUGUGAGGCAUUGUGCUCCACAGCGCUCUCCCAGUGGGACUGGAGCUCCCAACGGGACUCUGCUCCAGUUGCCCUGGGCAAUUGUCUUUUUGAUAACACCAUCUGUAUUGACUGCCUUCCCAUUCCUGUCUUGCUUCCCUGCUACCCUGAUGGGGUGUUUCCCGAGACCACUUUCCCAAAUAAAUAACUUACGCUUAAGCCAUUGUCUCAGGAUCUGCUUCUAGGGUUGCCGAGCCAAAGGCAAAGAUGCGCCUUCCAUCAGAUUCCUGCUUCUGUGCAGUUUUACUGUGGUCCCUUGGAGCUUGACAGGCACUUGGGCUCUGUAGCUGGAGGUUUUAGUGAUAAGCAUGGGGCCAAGACUCUCAACAUUCAUUCCUUUCUUCCUCUCAUGACUACAGAGCUGGUGUCAGGAAGGGACCUCCGUGGGCAGUAUGCGUAAAUCUUGGCUGCAAUGCAUUUCUGCUUAAGGCAGGAUUUGACAGUGUGUACCCGCCAGCAUGCCAGCAACGGUGUUGACACCAUACACGAGGCUGAAGGAUUAAUCAUCGGCCCUUGCCAAUUCCAGGAUAACACUCCUGCCAUCUUCUCACCUCUCACACCUCUGCUAUCCAAUGGGUCCCUGAGGCUGCAUCAGUAAUUUAUAUGAGAACCCACAAUAUCAGGACUCUGGCAUGCUUUCCAACAGUCCACCAGAUUUUGGCUUUUAUCCUCCCUUCUGGGUCAGGGUUGGCACUUUGUUUUCCCAAACCGCAAGUGGCAUCAGGUGAAGCAUUAUCUCCAGGCUGGACACUUGCCGUCAUUUUCUAAGGACACCGGUCCUGGGGAUGUGAAUUAAAUGCUCAUAAUUAGAAGGUGCCUUUCUGCCAGGCUUCUUUAGGGAAAAUUUCCUCCUCACUCUAUCUGAUACUCCCAUGGAGAUGAGGGGGGAAAAUUCAUAUCUGGCAGCAGGCAGUGGUAUCAGAAAUAAUGGCUUGAGGCACCCGAAAAAUGUAAUCAAUAUUUACCUGCUGAGAGGUCCCUUGAUGGGAAGGAAAUUGACUCUCUUCCCCACUGCAUAUGUCGCAUUUUGAUAUCCUCCCUCCUUUGUGUCUUUGGCAGAGGGGGAAGUGCAUAAUCUUGGUUCUUCAACAGGAAAAAACUCUAGGAAACCAUUAUAUGGUCAGUCUGUAUAAGAUAAUCCAUUACUGAGGGAGGAGCUGCUUAAAAUAUUCAAGCUGUUCCCCUGGUUCUCUGCCUGGUUUCUGUUUCUUUGUGCCCAAACUGUUGCAGUCAGGGAUAUAAAUUUCCUUUCUCUCCUUCACCCCUUGCCUAGAACAAAUAAUAAUUGAUGACAGUUGUUUCAUUUUCUGUGUCACCUCCUAAGAGAAGUCUCCUGGAGAAAAAAAAAAACUGAUGUGGGUUGAUAAUGUUUCUUUGGGCUGUUUUAUCAUGGGUCUGGAGGUGUGAGUACAGAAUAUCCCUAUAAGACUCCAAUGCAUAUCAUCUAGAUGAUUUUUUCCCCAGCAGAAGUGUACUGGUCUGAGUUUCUGGUUGCAAACAAAACAACAGAACGGAUGCUAGUGAAAUUAAAUAGAAAAGGAUCUAUGGUUUGGAAAAUAAGUAGGAAGUAAGGGAGGCAAAACCUGGCCAGGACUUGUCCUCAGGACCAGCCAGCCUGGAGUGUCCCUGCUGGUGUGGUCGCCCCUGGAGACUUGCCAUUCUGCAACUGCUCUAUAAACCAGCCUCAGACACAUAAGUGUCUCUGAAGAUUGCUGUCUUUGCACUCUCUGUUCAUAUUCCAAGUCCUGGAGAGAGGCAUCUCCCGGCUGAGCUUCAGUCACAGCUAGCUACCUAGCUUCCAGGUGUCAGGGACAAGACCCCAUCCCUUCUGCCUCUGUAGAGGAGUCUUUGAAAAUCCAGCCUUUUCCAUUACUCACCCAUUCUCUUCCCUCCAGGCACGCCCUGUCUUUCUUCCCUCUUAAUUUUCUCCCAUCGCUCUUGUAUCAUCCAACAUAUAAUUUACUUAUCUAUAGUGUUUAUGGUCUACAUUCCUCCACUAGAAUCAGAGUGCCAUGAGAGCAGGGAUUUUGGUCUUCUUGGUUCAUGCCUAAAUCCACAGUCCCUAGAAUAGUGCCUGACACAUGGCAGGCACUUAAUAAAUGUAAGUUGCGUAAAUUAAUUAAUCAAGUAGGAGGGAUGGUGUGGAUGCCGGGCUGCUCCAAAGGAUAAAUAUCUAUUGCAAGAAAUAUUUCUCAUUCUUGAUCAAAGAAAUGGUCACUUUCAGAAAGAGCUCUUUGUUUUUAGCAAGAUGAGAUGGUCAGCAACUCAUGCACUACAGAGAAAAAUACUGCCUUGUGAGAUUUUUUUCCUUCAGAUUUUCUUCUACACAAAGUUGACAUUUUUGGUUAGUAUCCAUUGGUGUCUGUUUGUCUCUAAAAUGAAUCAUAGAGGCCUCAGCAAGGAUCCUGGAACAUGGCAGAGUUAUGGACAGGCUCAUCUCUUCCUACUUUGGGCAGAGAAUAAAGGGAGAGUCUGGUUCCUCUGCUCAAGUCUUUGGACAAAUGGUGCCACUUGGCAUGGGCAUUCAGGGUGGCAGCUUUGUGGGAGAGGAAAUGUAGACCUCAUUGUUUAAGUUCCCCAACCCUGAUCACAUGCUUAAAGACCAGCAUUUAUUGAGCACCCACUGUAUGCCAGGCACUCUUCUAAGCACAUUGUAUGUUCUGGAUUCUUUAGUCCACCACACUAUUAUCCCCACAUUGCAGCUGGAAUGCUGGGACACACUUGGGAUUUAUGUGAGCCAUGCCAAGUUGCAUGAGGACUUUCCCUCUUCCAGAGUCAUGGAGAGGAACCUGGCUGCAACACCAAGCCAGGCGAGCCUCUUCUGAGAAUGAGAGAGGAGAGUGCCUACCUGAGAGGCCCAAUUUUUCUCAACACCCAUUUCCUCUAAGGGGAUUAUGUUAACUGAGAUUUGGCCCAAAGGGCUAUCUGCGUUUGAUGGUAUGGAGCCAUGCAAGAAUAAGACGUAUAGAAGAAAGUUGUGAAAACAAAGUGUUAGAACAUUCUAGGAAUACCUAUAGCUACCCUAUAAAGAGAAUUUUUUGCUGCAUUGGGGUAAGGUUAUUGAAAUUCACAUCCUACUUCUGACCCUUAUUCAUGGACACAAAGGAAGCACGUUAGCUAUCAUUAUCCUUAACACGCGGGAUUUGGGGAAAUCCAUUUUUUCUUAUGACAUAAUGCUAAUGAACCACAACUGACUUUCUCCACAGCAAUGUAGUCACUGCAAUCAAAUGAACACAAACUCAAAAUGUGCUUUUCUUUAUUCUGGGGCCAGGGAAUUAAUUAGGUGUGAGUUGGAGAAGGAUUAAGAUACAAGAUGCCAGAUAAGACAUAAGAUAUCCAAUUAAAUUUGAAUUUUAGAUAGAUAAUGAAUAUUUUUAAAAAUAUAAGUAUGUCUCAUGCAACAUUUGGAAUAUACUUACACUAAAAAAUUAUUCAUUGUUUGUCUGAAAUUCAAAUUUCACUGGGCAUCCUAUAAUUUUGUUUGGUAAAUCUUGCAAUCCUAAGAAGAACAUGGGUAUUGCUUCAUCUAUGGCCAUUCCUGGCCUCACAUUCGUCUCCUGCUCCCCACCUUCCUGCUUAAAUGUGAAAUCAAAAGUCAUAGAAGGCUUGACAAAAUGACAAGAAUUUUAAUGGCCUAAGGCAUUAAUUCAUCCUUAACAGGAGACAUGUCCAAUCCAUUUAGGUUUAGUGACUUGAAAUGGCAGCAUUUUCAUAUUUCCCAUCCUUACUCCAUGUCUCAUCAAGAACCAGGAUGGACUGGGGAGCAAUUAUUUCCAUUCUGGGGGUGUUUGAGGGAAAAUUUCUUCUUACGUAGAGGGUGAAGAUUCAAGGCUUACAGGUAGAUGUCAGAGGCCCUUGGGCAGGUGUUAAUUCCACUCUCCUUUUACUCUGAUGCUAAUUUCUUAACAGUCACGAGCAUACAGGUGCAGCUAGCAAUGUUGAGGAGAGCUGCGUCCCAAAUCUGGGUGAUUAAGUCACGCUUUCUCAUUUCCACGCUGUAAUUUGAGAUGUUCUUGAUUUUCAUUUCUUCUGAUCAUCAACUAGCGGUGGUACCAAACAUUUUAAUGUUUAAAACCUCUGCCCCCCACCUCCCAGACUGGUGUCAGGAUAUGUGCUUGAUCAUCCAAAAGGAGAUAUCUGUUAAGAGAGCCCUGUAGUGUAUCCUUACACACAAGUGAAAAUUCCUUUUAUAAUGCAAAUUUCCCAUCUUCCCUGUUUUACCGGUUCUGUAAAUUUUGAGGCUUUUGAACAUUGAGUUUUUUAAAAAACAAGGUAUUCUUCUAUGCCUCUGGUGUCUUGACCUCAAUUCCUCUUCCUUCCUUUCUUCCUUCCCUGUCAUUCUCAUCUUCAUCCUCCUCAUCUUUUUUUUUUUUGUGUGUUAAACCCACAAUUAAACAUUACAGCUCAGAAAACCGGUCUUCAACCUUGGCUACAUUUUAGAAUUGUAGGAGUAAUUACAAAAUAUAUGGAUGCUCCGGGCAUACCCCCAGAGAAACUGACUUAAAUGGUCCGAGGUGGGGUACUGUCAUCGAUAUUAUUUACAGGCUCCUCGAGUGAUUCUAAUUGCAGCCAGGGUUGAGGACCACCAGCCUAGAGGUAAGCAUCAGAGAAACUGAACUGAGGGAGUCUGGAUUCUCAUCCCAGCUCUGCCAUUUAUGAUGUGUCCUUUGGCAAGUUACCACUUUUCUGAGGCUCGGUUUCCUCAUCAGUAGAAUAGGGAUAUUAAUAUGUGCCAUGGAGGAGGUUGUGGUGAGGAUUAAAUGAGAUAUUCCGAAUCAAGUUCUUAGCAUAUGGUGAUCCCUUAUUAGCGUUGGUUGUUAUCUAUCCCAGGGGUCAGCAAACUGUGGUCCAUAGUCCAAAUGUAGCCCACUCCCUAUUCUUGUUAAUGAUGCUUUAUUGGGCCAUAGCCACACCCGUUGACUUACAUAUUGUUUAUGACUGCUUUUGUGUGACAGCAGCAGGGUUGAGUGGUUGUGAUGAGACUCUGUGGCCAACAAAUUCUAAAAUAUUUAUUCUGAACCUUGACAGAAAAUGUUUGCUGUAAGUUAAAACUGUAACAUCAACCUCAUUUAUGCCCCAUGGAGCGCCCAGUCUAUUAGGGGUAGCCACCUCAAAUAUCUCCCAUACAUUGCAGCAGGGAGGCAGUGUGGUGUCCCGAAGACAGUCUGGGAUUGGGUUCUUUCCUCAAGUCCUCCCUAAACCAUGCAUUUGACCUUAAGUAACCUGCUUUUCCUCUCUGAGCCUCAGUUUUCUCGUUUCUAAGGUAGAAGGGUGGGGCUAGAUGAUCUCCAAAAGUUCUUUCAGCUCUAGAAUUUUCUGAUUCUGUCCCUGGCAUUCUGUGGAGCUCUCAAAGCACAGAUCCAUCUAUUCUAUGGGAACUGGGCCAGGAGAACUUUUAAAUUGGGGAUGAUGAAAUAGCAGGCUUUCUCUUGUCCGCACUACAGCUGUUUAACAGCAAGUCCAUGCAAUUCACAGUUGCUCUUCCUUCUUCAGAGGUUCAGAGAAAGGUUUAUAAAUCCUCUGUUGUGGGAUGAAUAAUGACCCCCCAAGAUAUCCAGGUCUGAAUCCCUGGAACUGGUGAAUGUCAUCUUGUAUGGCAAAAGAAAUGUGCAGGUAUAGUUAAGAAUUUCGAAAUAGGGAGAUAAUUCUGGAUAACCUGAGUGUGCCCUAAAUGCUAUCACCGGUAUCCUUAUAAGAGGGAGGCAGAAGGCAGAGGGUGAUUUUACUACAGAGAAGGCGAUAUGACAACCUCACCUGAGAGAGAUUUGAAGAUGCUAAGCUGCUGGCUUUGAAGAUGGAAGAGGCCGUGAGCCAAGGAAUGCAGCUCCAGAAGCUGGAAAAGGCGACAGUGGAUUCUCCACUCUGUAGCUGCUCUGGAGGGAGCAUGUCUCUUUCACAUUUUGAUUUCACUCCAGUGAAACUGAUUUGAGACUUCUGACCUCUGGAACUAUACGAGGGUAAACAUGUGUUAUUUUAAGCCCCCAAGUUUGUGGUAAUUUUUGUGUGGAAGCCAUAGGAAACUAUGAUACCCUCCUUACAUUGGUAGGUAACCUAUGGAUCCCAAGGGGAAUUAGCAGUGGGCAUGUAGAGGAAGUCUCAUAGAGAGAGAAUUAAUAGAGAGAUUUGUGGCAGUUAGCCAUGUGGAAAGACUGGAAUGGAGUAGAGAGGGAGGGAAAAAUAGAGGAAGAGUUGAAUGGAUUGAGAGAGAAAAUAUGGAAGGCUUGAGGUCUUCCCUACUUCUUCAUUUCCAUUCUUUGCUGUAGUGGACAGAAUUCUAAGAUAGCCUCCAUGACCUCCACUCCCUGCUGUUACACCUUGGUGUAAUCCCCUCCCUUGAGUGGCGUUAGGAUCUGUGACUGGCUUCUAACAAACAGAAUAUGGCAGAGGUGAUGGGAUGUCACUCACAUGAUUGCAUUUUAUUAUAUAAGACUAGAUAACGCUAUGUAUAACAUUAUAUAACUAGAGAGAGACUUUCCUGUUGGCCUUGAAGAAGCCAACAGCCAUGUUAUGAACUAUCUAUGGAGGGAGCCAUGUGUCAGAGAACUGUGACCAGGUCUCUAGGAUUGGGGGCAGCCUCUAUAGCUAGUGAGAAACAGGGCCUUCAGUCAUACAGCAACAAGAAAAUGAAUUCUGCCAACAACCAAAAUGAGCUUGGAAGCAGAUCCUUCUCCAGCCAACAUUCAAGAUGAGAACACAGCCCACCCAAGAACCUGAAUGGAGCCUUGCGAGAUCUGCAGCUGAAGACCCAGUUAAGCUGUUCCUGAAUGCCUGACACACAGAAACUGGGAGAUAAUAAUUGUAUAUCCUUUAGCUGCUAAGUUUGUGGUAAUUUGUUCCCCACCAAUAGAAAAUGAAUAUAAUCACUGCCAAUAAAAUACAUUCCAGAAUGGAUGGAGUAGAUGGCCAUCUAGGAAGUGUGGUUUUGGGGUAACUCAAAUCUUUAGCUUUCACAAGGAUUUCCCCCUCUGUGAGUACCCACGAUGCCCAACCUAGCGACUCUUUAUAAUUGAAGAUGUCUAAGAUCUAUUUAAAAUAAAAAUGUUACCAAGGAGGUUUAGAAUAUGGAAUAACUAUUAGUUUUAAACUUAGAUCAGUUCAAGUAUUUGAUAAAUUCAAUAGUCAGUAGCAUAGAGGGGGUACACAGGAUAGACAAGUUUUGAUUGGGGCAAAAUGGAGGACCAGGAGCGAUCCAGCAUAAGAAUGUUGUUUAAUGUUUACCAUUAUGUAACUUGGUCAAAGUCACACAGCUAAUAAGUGGUGAUAGCUAGGAGGGACCAUGUGUUGGGAUUCUUGAAUAGACAGGGGAUUGAAGAAUGACUGUGGGUCUGCAAGAAAUGGGAUGGGGUCCUGAGGAAGGAGGAAGGUUCUCCAAAGAGGAAUGUAAUCCAAGGCAGCUCCAACUGAAGGCAAACUAAGAAGAGACUUGUGAAAAAGAUGUUAACCGGGUUUAUUGGUAAGGAAUGCCUGAGGGACUUGCCUGAGAGCGACUCUGAGACCAUGUCCAGGUUCAGUGGGGAAGAUUUAUUAGUGAUGUCUACCUUGGGCUUAGUGGGGAGGGAGUGAAGACACAUGUGCUAUUGAUUUGUCAUCUUUAACUUAGGGAUGGGAAAGAACCUCUCCAAAUCAUUCCUGAGUGAUAAUAUGAGAACAUCCAGCCCGAAAGAAAAAUUUGGACCACUCAGUAAUUGCAGCCAACAGAAGAGAGAAUUCUGAGGCCCAAGAAGAGAGCAGAGCUACGAGAUGGAAGGAGUCUGGGUCCCAGAGUAACUUCAUGGAAUGCUGUCCAUUUACAAAGGUCUUUUCAUGAGCAAGAAAUAAAUUUCUAGUGAGUGAAGCCUCUGCUCCACUCUGGGGUGCUCCAGUGGUGCAUCCCAGAACAAGGAAUCCCAACAUGAUGUCCAGUAAAACAUCAGCAAUCUCCAUAUAGUAAAUAUUCUAUAUCUUGCUAGAGGUGUGGGUUACAUGGGUGUAGACAUUUGUUAAAACUGAUUAAAAUGUUAAGAUCUUUGCAUUUCAUUGUAAGCAAAUUAUGC